RNAcentral lists this ribosomal RNA (497 nucleotides) under uncultured bacterium. RNAcentral's name for it is "partial 16S ribosomal RNA". It matches the Rfam family "Bacterial small subunit ribosomal RNA", at positions 28 to 507 of the family's 1533-position model. The record is from RNAcentral.
GAUGAACGCUGGCGGCGUGCCUAAUACAUGCGAGUCGAGCGAACGGACGAGAAGCUUGCUUCUCUGAUGUUAGCGGCGGACGGGUGAGUAACACGUGGAUAACCUACCUAUAAGACUGGGAUAACUUCGGGAAACCGGAGCUAAUACCGGAUAAUAUUUUGAACCGCAGGGUUCAAAAGUGAAAGACGGUCUUGCUGUCACUUAUAGAUGGAUCCGCGCUGCAUUAGCUAGUUGGUAAGGUAACGGCUUACCAAGGCAACGAUGCGUAGCCGACCUGAGAGGGUGAUCGGCCACACUGGAACUGAGACACGGUCCAGACUCCUACGGGAGGCAGCAGUAGGGAAUCUUCCGCAAUGGGCGAAAGCCUGACGGAGCAACGCCGCGUGAGUGAUGAAGGUCUUCGGAUCGUAAAACUCUGUUAUUAGGGAAGAACAUAUGUGUAAGUAACUGUGCACAUCUUGACGGUACCUAAUCAGAAAGCCACGGCUAACUACGUG